Long non-coding RNA from Brienomyrus brachyistius, 1976 nucleotides. RefSeq lists it as uncharacterized. NCBI's taxonomy places the organism in Eukaryota, Metazoa, Chordata, Actinopteri, Osteoglossiformes, Mormyridae. The record is from RefSeq and is a predicted model, not a curated record. The transcript is spliced from 2 exons.
CCCAACACUUAAUCAAGAUGUUUACAAACCCUCCAUUUGUAUCGCAAUAGCCAAUAAACAGCAGCUGAUUACGCAGGCUCUCCCGAGGCUAAUUGCAAGUAAUGAACUUAACCAGCUAAACUACCGCCUGGUUUCGCUAAAUGGGAAAAACCGUAAAUGUGACCUGCGACCGGUCAAGUGCGAUUCAUCUACCGUGAAAUUCUUAGUCUUAAGUUAUUGCCAUUUUGCAGUUUGAGCUAAACAGAGGGGGGAAAGCUUUGAAAUAACUCCACCCACGAUAUAUGGUGUCUGAAUAGACGCAACGUUUGUUUUACGUAGCAAAUUGCCAACAGCUUUCUACGUUAUCAGAAUGUUUGCACAGAGGUAUAUGGAUAGGUAAUGUGAGACACCAUGGUUAAUGUAAUUAAGAACGUAAACUGAUUAUUUUUUUACGGGAAAUACUGAAGCAGCAGCGCCUAAGCUCUCAGCCUUUGCUAACUGUACUAAGCUUAGGCCGAGGGUCAGGCUGCAGUCCCACAGGUUUCACGUUUGGUGAAGCUCAGUCUACAUAUAAAAGCACGACACUGCGCCGUUUAGUUUCCGAAUAAUUUCUUUAUCAGAAUCAAAUGAAAGGGCUGGUAAGCAGCGAAGCCCCCCGCUAACGCCGCUCCGUCACCCGGCCGGGGCCGACCUGCAACUAGGGCACGGCGGCGUAACAGCCGCAAAGUUACCCUGCCGGAUCUCUUACGCGCUCCGCACUUUUACUGAUGCGAUUUAAAUGUAACAUUUCGCCAUGUUGCUGCAUAUUAAGUUUAUGUGAGAAGGCGCCACGGGUGUAGUUUAAUAGUCACUGCGGUGUAAUGGCAAAACUCCACUUUCCAUCAGUAUGUGCCAGCAGACAAAGUGUGAAAUUAAAAAGGGAGUUCAGUGUUUUUUUUUUUUUUUUUUUUUUGCUGGACAACAGGCUUGCAGGCCAAAUGUUGGGGAACAGAAUAACAAGUCGCUCGCAAUCAAUUGAGAAACUGCAACUCAGAUCGAGUAUAUUACAUCCUUUAUAACCGGCGUCACACAGCUUGUCGGAUUUCGGAGUUCAAACGGACUUCGUUAACUACAGCUAAUUAGAAAUCAACGACUGGAGAAGAGACUGGUUUAAUACGCCGAGACUCGAUUUCUGUCCAUCCACCCAGUAUAAACACGCACUUAAAAUUGAUGCGAAAGCACCUCGGUUAGCUAACCCGGGGAAGGGAGACUCGGCAGCACUUGAAAACGAUUAGAUCUACAGCCAAACUCACCUUAUUUUGUUACAGUAUCCGUAUGUCUUCGUACAUCAGAACAAUCCACCGAAGAUGAAUCGCCAACACGGCGGCUGGCAUUUGUGCUGAUGGCUUUAGGUAGAUCAACGCACGAAGCAGGAAAGUGGCAGAUGGAGAUCCAGCAAAUAUGAUGUCCACCUUUCCUCCACGCCGGAGUCCAAACAGAACUAAUCCCUGCAAUCUCUGAUCUCGGUGUCCUAGAUCGGUCGAAGCUGUGUCCGGCAGGUUGCAAUAACAGUGUUUUUUGGUUGUGCUCACGUUAUACAGGCGCUUGUCCCCCCACCCCCUAAAACAUUUCUAAGGCCGAACAAAAACGCUUCCCUGAAACUGGGUUAUUGUGCAUUUGCCACAGAUUGCAUGGAAGGGCAUUUAACCUUCUUGCCGUGCUGCCAAACUUCAGUUUAAUGCUCCAGUCACCCACUCGAAGAGACUGGCUUGUUCCGUCUAGUUGCCUGGUGGCUAACGCGUUGCGAAAACUGUGAUGCGAGCUAAUGGGAUUUUUUUUUCUUUCCGCUGCUCUUGUUUUGUUUUGUAUAGCAUGCCAGCUCCUAAAUGGUUAUCUAUGUUUGGUAAGACAGUAUUUUAAUUCUAACGAGAGCAAAAGUGGGGAUUUUGAAUAGCAGAGAGGGGAGUCUGUAAGGGAGGCCAUUUUGACCACUGAGAAAUAAACUCCCAUGGGCGCCA